Molecule: transfer RNA, 72 nt
Filed under: Odocoileus virginianus texanus
Lineage: Eukaryota; Metazoa; Chordata; Mammalia; Artiodactyla; Cervidae
Also listed under: 8 other names
Rfam family: tRNA
About the family: Transfer RNA (tRNA) molecules are approximately 80 nucleotides in length. Their secondary structure includes four short double-helical elements and three loops (D, anti-codon, and T loops).
Source: Rfam by way of RNAcentral
UCCCUGGUGGCUCAGAUGGUAAAGAAUCUGCCUGCAAUGCAGGAGACCCAGGUUCAAUCCCUGGCUCAGGAA